AUUGAACGCUGGCGGCAUGCCUUACACAUGCAAGUCGAACGGUAACGGGUCCUUCGGGAUGCCGACGAGUGGCGAACGGGUGAGUAAUAUAUCGGAACGUGCCCAGUAGUGGGGGAUAACUGCUCGAAAGAGCAGCCAAUACCGCAUACGACCUGAGGGUGAAAGGGGGGGAUCGCAAGACCUCUCGCUAUUGGAGCGGCCGAUAUCAGAUUAGCCAGUUGGUGGGGUAAAGGCCUACCAAGGCAACGAUCUGUAGUUGGUCUGAGAGGACGACCAGCCACACUGGGACUGAGACACGGACCAGACUCCUACGGGAGGCAGCAGUGGGGAAUUUUGGACAAUGGGCGCAAGCCUGAUCCAGCAAUGCCGCGUGCAGGAAGAAGGCCUUCGGGUUGUAAACUGCUUUUGUCAGGGAAGAAAUCUUCUGGGCUAAUACCUCGGGAGGAUGACGGUACCUGAAGGAUAAGCACCGGCUAACUACGUGCCAGCAGCCGCGGUAA
RNAcentral lists this ribosomal RNA (500 nucleotides) under uncultured bacterium. Its description in RNAcentral is "partial 16S ribosomal RNA". It matches the Rfam family "Bacterial small subunit ribosomal RNA", at positions 30 to 523 of the family's 1533-position model. The record is from RNAcentral.